GACGAACGCUGGCGGCGUGCCUAACACAUGCAAGUCGAACGGAAGGACCAGGCUUUUGUGGCGUUCACGUUUGGCGAACGCGUGAGCGUCACGCGUGUAUCCCCCACCUGUAUUUGUGAUAUAACCAGGAAACAGGGGCUCUUAUCCGGUAGGAGCUCCUGCUGCACGGUGGGCAAAGGAAAGUUUCGGCGGUUGGGGAUCGAGUCGCGGCUUAUCAGCUUGUUGGGGGGGUAGUGGCUUACCAAGGCUUUGACGGGUAGCCUGCCUGAGAGGGUGACCGGCCACAUUGGGACUGAGGUACGGCCCAGACUCCUACGGGAGGCAGCAGUGGGGAAUAUUGCACAAUGGGCGGAAGCCUGAUGCAGCAACGCCGCGUGCGGGAUGACGGCCUUCGGGUGGUAAACCGCUUUCGCAUGUGACGAAGCGUGAGUGACGGUAAUGGGUAAAGAAGCACCGGCUAACUACGUG
RNAcentral lists this ribosomal RNA (468 nucleotides) under uncultured bacterium. RNAcentral's name for it is "partial 16S ribosomal RNA". It matches the Rfam family "Bacterial small subunit ribosomal RNA", at positions 28 to 507 of the family's 1533-position model. The record is from RNAcentral.